UAUACCGUCUCUCCGAAUACGAAAAUACUGGAGAGUGGAGACUCAUAUUCUCUCUAUUUCUCUCGCCGUCUUGAGGUCUCCUUCCUUUUUUUCCUAUUCUCCAUUUCUCGUCUCUACUUUUUUCUCCGUUUCCCUCUCUGAAACUCCAAGACGAACCAACUUGAAGAAGCCCUCCACCACUUUUUGUCUUUCUCUUGCUGCGAGUACUAGGUGAGAGUGGCCAUGGAGCUGACGGAGGAGAAUCUCAUUUAUUGAGAUUGAAGACUUGGAUGGCUGAUUAGGAGAACCCAUUUCCUGAGAUUGAUGAAAUAUUGGAUGAGUUCAGGGUCUGCCAUUUUUCGCGCCAGGAGCUUCCCGUUAGAAUGGCAAGUGGAGAAUUGUGUCUAGAAUGCUCCAUAGUACUCUGCAACAGUGGAAGGAAAACCUCUUGUUCUGAAUGUAGUUAGACGGUCUGAGCAGCUGCUAGUAAAUGACUAGUCUCGUGCUAAGGAGUAUCUUCCCAUUACUGGAUUAGCGGAUUUCAAUAAAUUGAGUGCCAAACUAAUUUUUGGUGCUGACAGCCCUGCUAUUCAAGAAAACAGGGUAGCUACUGUCCAGUGCUUAUCUGGUACUGGCUCUCUGAGGGUUGGAGCUGAGUUUCUGGCAAAACAUUACCACCAAGCCUGCUUGAGGACCUCAGUUCUGCCCCAUCAGGAGCAAUAGUGCUUCUUCGUGCAUGUGCUCAUAAUCCAACUGGUGUUGAUCCUACCGUUGAACAGUGGGAACAGAUCAGGCAUUUGAUAAGAUCAAAGGGGUUGUUACCUUUCUUUGACAGUGCAUAUCAGAUUUCUUGCUAUUUCCAUUCCAAGUUAAAGGCAGACCUAUCAAGUACAUAUAUAAAGAUUGGAAAUUCUUGUAAUAUUCAUUAUGGAUCUUGAUCAAUUUCUGGCUUCUUUGGUCAAGAUAACAUUCAAGUUGGGAAUCUUGUUAUUAAGGAUCAAGUUUUCAUAGAGGCCACAUGAGAAGUCUCUCUUUCUUAUUAGCGAAGUUUGAUGGCAUACUUGGUCUUGGGAUUCAAGAAAUUUCUGUUGGCAAUGUUGUGCCCUUCUUGUUAAAAGAUGCAACGAGUGAUUCUUAAAGCAUAGUUGAAGACAAUGGAUAAUUCUUUUAUAUUUAAAAUUUCUCUAUUUUUUUGAAAGUCAUAUAGACUUUAAUAUGUAUUGAGGGAAAUUUAACAUUUGUAAUGCAUUUUAAACAAUGGAUGUAUUUUUUUGGUAGAACAAUUGAUGUAUUCAAAUUAUGUGGCAU
Nelumbo nucifera (sacred lotus) is the source of this 1287-nucleotide RNA transcript. RefSeq lists it as uncharacterized. NCBI's taxonomy places the organism in Eukaryota, Viridiplantae, Streptophyta, Magnoliopsida, Proteales, Nelumbonaceae. The record is from RefSeq and is a predicted model, not a curated record.